AGAAGUCUAAGAUGCCACCACCAGCAUCAUCACAGGAAUAUGUCCCCCCAGAUGGUGGUUGGGGCUGGGCAGUGGUCAUAGCAGCUUUUGUCUCGAUUGGAUUUUCUUAUGCAUUUCCCAAAGCCAUAACUGUGUUCUUUAAGGAGAUUCAGGAUAUCUUUGACACCUCAUACAGUCAGAUCGCAUGGAUCUCUUCAACAACAUUGGCUGUUAUGUACGCUGGAGUUGGAAAACAGUGGCCUUCUCCAAAGUAGAGAGAAUCUAACCAUCUUCCCGUGAUGUUCAACUGCACUACCAUCACUGCAUCCCCCACUGGCAACAUCCUGGAGGUUACCAUUGACCAGAAACUUACCUCAUAGCAUCUACAUAAAUACUGUGGAUGUAGGAAUAGUCAGAGGCUGGGACUCCUGUGACAUAACUCAUCUCUCCUGUCCCCAGUGCCCAUCCACCAUCCUCAAAGUGCAAAUCAGGAUUGUGAUGGAAUACUCUUUACUUACCUGGGUGAGUAUGGCAUCAAUAACACUUAAGAAGCUCACCCUUCACCUGGACAUGGUAGCAGCAUGUAUAUCAUCAAAAAGAUGCACUUCUGCAAAACUUGUCAAACUUCCUUUGCCAGCACCUUCUAAAUCCACAACAUCUACCAGCUUGAAGAACAAAGAUGCAUGGGAACACCACCAUCUUCAGGUUCCCUUCCAAGUUGCAGACCAUCCUGAUUCAAUUUCUAUCACUGUUUCUUCACUGUAAUGGGGACAAAAUCCUAGAACUCCAUUCUGAACCAGCGCUAUGAGUGUUGCUGUUCCAAAAAGAUUGCAGGAGUUCAAAAAGUCAGCUCACCAUCAUCUUCUCAAGGUCAGUUAGACAUAAAUGCUGACCUUACCAGUGAUACUGACCUCCUAUGAGUGCUGUAAAAUAAAUUAACAUGGGAUAGAAGCAGUUAAUAAAAGAUAUUGACUGUG
This is a long non-coding RNA of Rhincodon typus (whale shark), 956 nucleotides long. RefSeq lists it as uncharacterized. The record is from RefSeq and is a predicted model, not a curated record. The transcript is spliced from 2 exons. Lineage: Eukaryota; Metazoa; Chordata; Chondrichthyes; Orectolobiformes; Rhincodontidae.